GAUGAACGCUGGCGGCGUGCCUAAUACAUGCAAGUCGAGCGAACGGACGAGAAGCUUGCUUCUCUGAUGUUAGCGGCGGACGGGUGAGUAACACGUGGAUAACCUACCUAUAAGACUGGGAUACCUUCGGGAAACCGUAGCUAAUACCGGAUAAUAUUUUGAACCGCAUGGUUCCAAAGUGAAAGACGGUCUUGCUGUCACUUAUAGAUGGAUCCGCGCUGCAUUAGCUAGUUGGUAAGGUAACGGCUUACCAAGGCAACGAUGCAUAGCCGACCUGAGAGGGUGAUCGGCCACACUGGAACUGAGACACGGUCCAGACUCCUACGGGAGGCAGCAGUAGGGAAUCUUCCGCAAUGGGCGAAAGCCUGACGGAGCAACGCCGCGUGAGUGAUGAAGGUCUUCGGAUCGUAAAACUCUGUUAUUAGGGAAGAACAUAUGUGUAAGUAACUGUGCACAUCUUGACGGUACCUAAUCAGAAAGCCACGGCUAACUACGUG
This 497-nucleotide ribosomal RNA is filed under the name uncultured bacterium. RNAcentral describes it as "partial 16S ribosomal RNA". It matches the Rfam family "Bacterial small subunit ribosomal RNA", at positions 28 to 507 of the family's 1533-position model. The record is from RNAcentral.